Linepithema humile (Argentine ant) is the source of this 3923-nucleotide non-coding RNA. The record is from RefSeq and is a predicted model, not a curated record. NCBI's taxonomy places the organism in Eukaryota, Metazoa, Arthropoda, Insecta, Hymenoptera, Formicidae.
GUCGUCUGGCAAUAAACUAGACUUCAUCGCAAUGGGAAGAGGAGAAUGCUUCUCGGGCAUUCUCGAGUAUAAUCGCGAGAAUUCAUAAUAUUUGCAGAGUGUAACGGAUUGUAAUAAACAAUUUUAAUAAUGGGACGGAUUGCUCGCGAGUAGCGGUGAAUUUGCGCGAGGGCACUCGAUAUCGACGAUUCUCGAUCAACUAUAAUACAACUCUCGACUUUAUGAAGCGCUGCAAUUGAGCACAAUUUAUACCUACGCUAUACACAGCGGGUGAAUACAUUGCCAGGGAUAUCAAAGGUGAAGGCAUUGUCAGGAAUUGAUCUUGGGAGAUGCGGACGUGCGAGAUGCGGUUUCGGUAUAACACUCACGGGUGUGUGCUCGGCGCCUUAUACAUAUUUCUGUGCACGUUUCGAUGCAGAGUUUUGACGCGCGUAUGCGUAUUGUUAACGGAGAUCGGAUUCGCCGAUAAACCGAUCCAAGGUUUAUCCUCGAUUCUUGUAUCCACACACGCAUAAUUUAUCGAUAUAGGAUAGACAGGUAAGAAUUGCUAGUUGUGAAUAUUAUUCCGCGUGUAGCAAUGAUGAUUUAAAAUAACAAUUCUCGCUGCACAAAACGGCAAAAAUCGCAUGUAGAAUAAAAUAACAUAUCCAUUUUACAAACGGUCAAUCUACCAUGUUUGUUUUACCUCGUCAAGUUACAUUUUUACUUAAUAUUCACGAAGAAUUUAAAACACAAUUUUCUGUAUAUUUGCGCGCGUUUUGCGAGCAGAAUUCUAGUUGGCAAUUAAACCAUCUACGUUUCCGCGUGAUCCGUCGCUAAUUUCGCGUAUAUGUACGCGUCAUAUUUUUGGCGAAGCCAAAAAGUAAACACGGCGCGACCGUGGAGUCAAGUAGCCCGCGUUGAAUCCAAAUCAAACACAGAGAAUGGUAAUGAAGGAUCCACCUGCGAUAUACGCUAAGUUUCGCAAUCAGCCACGGAUUAGAGUUUCGCCGAUUACGUGCGGAACGCUUCAGCGCCGCUUCGCACUUAAACAUCGAUGGCUAACGCCGAACGGCGAUAUCUCGUCGAUUUGUCGAUUGUCGGUACAAAUCAGCGUCAGCGGUCUGCCUUUCGAACGCGCAUAAGCAUUUCAACGCAAUAAAACGGAAUGUCCAAUGCUUUUUGCGAACUGAUACGGAUUGAUGUGCGCUCUCGAAAAGUCCAAAGUGUUUGAGCGUAAAAGUUUCACGAUCGCCGAGUCUUGUCGCCGAUAAAACUACGAUGGAAAAAUUCGCUAAAAUGAAACUCGCUCUAAUUUCGAUUCGGCAAUCCACCGAAUGGAAUAUUUAUCCGCUUCUUUAUGGUCCCGAAUGAAAUUCAUUACCGUUUAAUUUCUGCACGAUACGAUUGCGGCCAAAAAAGGAGAACCACGUCUCUAAAUCAAAGGGAAUUUCAUUGCAACGUACCGAAGGGAGAGCGCGGGGAUUAUUAUUUAUGGUCGCACGUCCAACGCGCGCGUUUUUUUUGGGGCUGUAUUUUUAUCAUGGCCUCAUAAGCGCGUAGAUAUUUAUAUCGUAAAUACGUAUCCGAGUGUGAUCAUAAAUUUCGCGUGAUACAAUUACGGCGUGACUGCACUCCCGAUGUACGCGUCAUAAAAAUGGAGGCCCCUAUUCUUGAGUUAUAGCAAGCACGCUACUGGUUCUUAAUUAAAAUAUCGCGCACGAGAUAUGCAUGCAGCCACGGUUACCGAUUUUGCACAACGAAUUACGAGAGAAUCUCUUCAUUGUUAUCAUGCGAAUUUUUGCCAAGUCGCUCUAGCCAGCGCGACAAUUUAUUGCAAUACCAGCCACAAUCAUUUUGCACGUGAAUUAAAUAUUAGAGCGUAUUCUCUAUUGAUUUUAUAUCAACAAUUAAGUAAUUUUCGAAGAAUAACGAUGUAUAGAAUAUUUAAAAAAGGGUGAGAUUUUAAAGGAUACAUAAUAAAUCAAAGCAUCUUUAUAUUUUGAAAAAUCUUAUGGAACAAAUUAUACCAUCAAAAUUAAAAUUACACACUGUUAGAAUCGGAAUAUAUAAUCAGUAGAUUUUAGGCAGAUGCGAAGGAUGACAGAUUUGAUUGGAGUCUCGUCGAAUUGUCUUCGAUCCCGCCCUUUUUUUUAUUCCCGCGCGAAACCUCACACAGAGAUGUUGAAACCCGACUUGCGGCGUGGGCGUUGACGCGAUUUGCAAAGAAAGCACCUGCGCGUACACAUUCAGCGGGAUGAGGCGUCGGGAUGUGAGACGGCAAACAAAAAGGUUGCCGACCCCGUUGGGAGCGGUCGAGAACACUCCGGGAAGGCGCAGUGCGCGCCCGGAAAUGCGCCUUUCGCGAAAGCACGAGGGAAAAUUUUCGCUCCCUCGCUCCUUCGGGCGCGAGCGCGACCCGUUUCAACCUCGUUUAAAUUCUCGCCGGCCGAGUAAUGCGGAAGAAAAUUAAGGAAAUGAAAACGGAUGAUGCGAAAACGUAAACACACCAUCUCGCUGCGGCCGGACGCGGAAAACUUGCCUCGACGGGAGAUAUCUCUCCGUUUUUUCGGAGUUUCUGAAACGCGCCCGGCGCGUUUCCCUCCCGCGCGAGUUUUCUCGUCACGACGAUAAAGCGCCGAAAGAAUUGCGCGAUAAAAAGUAUGAAAUUGCUGCUUUACGAGACAGGAUCGCGCACGAUCGUGCGAUGCCCGUGUUAUUUUAUUAGAAAAUACACGCGCCGGAGAUAGUUGGCAAAGUGCGCGCGGUUCUUGGAAGGGCGAUUCUGUUGUCGCAGAAAUCCCAUUCUGUUUGGAUAAUUGACGCGCGGAGCACACGCGGCGCGAAAUAUUGCGGUGUUGCGUUUACCUCAGAGCAUCGCAAUUAUCCCGAUUAAUCAUACAUGGCUUGUAUAACGAACUGCGAGUUCAUUAAACAGCCUAUCAGCGGCUCUCCGAUUAACGAUGCAAAUUGGUACGUCGACUUGUCCACGCAGAUGCGACCGUUCCAUACAAAUCGACGCGAUAUCGCAAUGCGCGAACCUUCCCGAUACGACUUCGUCAUGCAACUGCGAAAGCAGUGACCGUAUGACCGUUACACGAGUAUCGCCGCGCCACUGGAAAAUAUACCUCUGACGAAAAUAGGGUUGGUAUCGCGAAGUUGCACGCAGCGCAUCGCCACGAUCACCUGUAAAGGAACUCGAACAAUAAGCCUCUUUCAAUUCCGACACGCGAUACGAUGCAUUGCACUCGGCGAAACACGGGUGCACUUUAAUCUAGUCUAGAGUCCUAAUGCACAAUAUGAAAUCACAACGCUCGGAAGAUUUGAUUAAAUUGGCGCAAACAAAACGUGUCCCACUUGUAUAACUAUUCGAAACUAUUCGAAAAAAACAUGCCAAUUAAAGUUGGAUUUUAUAAUCAUAUUUGUACGUAUUGAGCGAUUGUGACUCGAUUCAAAUCGAUUGUCUAUUAAUUUACGAACAGAAAACGAUUCUUGGCGCCUAACAAAUUUUGUUUUCGAUUCCAUCUCGUGUAUGCAUCGCUAAAAUAAAUCACGUUACUUUCUACUUUGAAUAAUCAUACCAUUGUGUAACUCAAUGCGACUUUGAUUAUCGUAAAAUCCAAAAUAUUCUCUUGAAUCAUUUUGACGAUUAAAAAGCGUCGCUGUUUUAUUACCGUCAAUUUAUCAUAUUUAUCGAUAACGUGCGAAAUGAUUUAAUAACGAGACGGCUGAUACUAGGCACGUGUAAGGCAGAUAAGUGUAAUCAUUUGCAGCUUCAUAAUCAAAUAAAUGUAGCUUUAGACACGUGCAAGGUCGCCCGGCAACCGUACAACACUCUAAAUACUUUUUUUUACAAUUUGCCGAAUAAAGCCGCUUUAUUGCUCGCUAAAACACUCCAAUAACGAGGCAGCCCUUCGGCAAGCCCUAUGACCCCCCCCCCCCCC